Molecule: transfer RNA, 86 nt
Organism: Pyrenochaeta sp. DS3sAY3a
Lineage: Eukaryota; Fungi; Ascomycota; Dothideomycetes; Pleosporales; Cucurbitariaceae
Rfam family: tRNA
About the family: Transfer RNA (tRNA) molecules are approximately 80 nucleotides in length. Their secondary structure includes four short double-helical elements and three loops (D, anti-codon, and T loops).
Source: Rfam
GGGCCGGUAACUCAGUGGUAGAGUGUAGGACUGCAGUUCACGUGACCGCCUUCCCGAAGUCACCGGUUCGACUCCGGUUCGGCCCU